This 774-nucleotide ribosomal RNA is filed under the name Damalinia meyeri sika. RNAcentral's name for it is "small subunit ribosomal RNA". Lineage: Eukaryota; Metazoa; Arthropoda; Insecta; Psocodea; Bovicoliidae. The record is from RNAcentral.
UACCAAUUAUAUCCCGUUGAGAGUGGGAAAAGUAGAGCUGUGCCCCUGACACUCAUGCAAACUGAAUAUUUCAAAGCAGAGUUUAACAAUUCCUCAAUGGGGAAGGUGAUAAAUCCCUGAAGGAACAAGGAGGCAACUAUAGGUCUUAGCAAUACAAGGUGCCAGCACUAGCGGUUACACCUGAAGGCCAAGUUCUGAAUCUUCAAUCUCGAGAGUGAGUUUGCGAGUUAAAUAUUCCAACAGCAAGGGUGAAAUGAAGCUUUAGGACUAAAUGCACCGACUCUCGGUAAACCGGGACCUAAAAACAGGGAUUAGAUACCCCUUUAUUCCCGGAGAAUCAAAUAGGAGUAGGAGGAAACUCUGAAAAUGAAAUCUCAUGGCGGCUUCCCCACCUUAUAGAGACGUAUGCCCACUAAAGGACAACACACCAUACAAUCUUUCUUUCGAACUAUCCUUUAACACAGCCGUCUGAAGGGCUCCUUUAGAUGGGAGAUCCAACAGCCCCAAACAUUCAUGAAGUUAGUUUGAAGGCAGUAAGUCAGGUAAAUGCUAAGGAAUGCGGAAGUCUGGGUGUACGUCAGUUUGAGCUAAUUGACUAGUUGCUGAAAGGCAUCUGGCUGGAGAGAAUUUAAAAGUAACUUCCAUCUCAUCAUGGGGAAGUGAAUCGGGCAAGGGGAAGUGUUCAUAUCGCCCGUCAUUCAUCUCGAAAGAGAUGACAAGUCGUAACAAAGUUAGCCUACUGGAAAGUGGGCUAGGAAUCCUUACUUUCGAUAG